This 253-nucleotide unclassified non-coding RNA is filed under the name uncultured Pirellulaceae bacterium. RNAcentral's name for it is "contains 16S-23S intergenic spacer region". It matches the Rfam family "Bacterial small subunit ribosomal RNA", at positions 524 to 776 of the family's 1533-position model. Lineage: Bacteria; Pseudomonadati; Planctomycetota; Planctomycetia; Pirellulales; Pirellulaceae. The record is from RNAcentral.
CACGAACUGCGCGAACGUUAUUCGGAAUCACUGGGCUUAAAGAGUCCGUAGGCGGCUCGGUAGGUGGGGUGUGAAAGCCCACGGCUCAACCGUGGAAUAGCGCUCCAAACCAUCGAGCUUGAGGGAGAUAGAGGAGAGCGGAACUGAUGGUGGAGCGGUGAAAUGCGUUGAUAUCAUCAGGAACAUCAGUGGCGAAAGCGGCUCACUGGGUCUCUUCUGACGCUGAGGUACGAAAGCUAGGGGAGCAAACAGG